This 564-nucleotide ribosomal RNA is filed under the name uncultured bacterium. Its description in RNAcentral is "bacterial SSU rRNA". It matches the Rfam family "Bacterial small subunit ribosomal RNA", at positions 8 to 572 of the family's 1533-position model. The record is from RNAcentral.
AGAGUUUGAUUAUGGCUCAGGAUGAACGCUGGCGGCGUGCCUAACACAUGCAAGUCGAACGGGGUAUAUAAGCGGAAGUUUACGGAUGGAAGGUUAUAUACUUAGUGGCGGACGGGUGAGUAACGCGUGGGCAACCUGCCCCGUGCCGGGGGAUACCGCCUGGAAACAGGCGCUAAUACCGCAUAAGCGCAUACAGCCGCAUGGCAGUAUGCGGAAAGCUCCGGCGGCACGGGAUGGGCCCGCGCCCGAUUAGCCAGUUGGCGGGGUAACGGCCCACCAAAGCGACGAUCGGUAGCCGGCCUGAGAGGGCGGACGGCCACAUUGGGACUGAGACACGGCCCAAACUCCUACGGGAGGCAGCAGUGGGGAAUAUUGCACAAUGGGGGAAACCCUGAUGCAGCAACGCCGCGUGGGUGAAGGAGCGUUUCGGCGCGUAAAGCCCUGUCAGCGGGGAAGAAGAAAGACGGUACCCGACCAAGAAGCCCCGGCUAACUACGUGCCAGCAGCCGCGGUAAUACGUAGGGGGCGAGCGUUAUCCGGAAUUACUGGGUGUAAAGGGAGCGU